Long non-coding RNA from Homo sapiens (human), 718 nucleotides. RefSeq lists it as uncharacterized. The transcript has 4 exons. NCBI's taxonomy places the organism in Eukaryota, Metazoa, Chordata, Mammalia, Primates, Hominidae. The record is from RefSeq and is a predicted model, not a curated record.
UUGGGCUGGAGUUUUUUCUGUACUGAUUUCAUCCUUAAGACACCAGCAGUUUGAUGCAUGAGUAUUUCUGUCUUAUAAAAACAACAAUGGCAACAUAAUUUACUGAGCUCCUAUCAUGUGCUAGCAUUGUUCUAAAUUCUUCAAAUGCGUAAUCCGAUUUAAUUAAUCUUAAUAGGCGGAGGCAAGGGGAAAAGGGGUUAACGUCUUUCAGAAGGACAUCUAAUAUAUUUUCCGGCAAAUUUUUUCUAUUGGCAGAGGCAAACUGUGAUUCUAAGUAUGACACAGAGUCCUGAGAUGCAAUGAAGACAAUCUCCAUCAAUUCUCUCCUCAUAUCUUUUUCUAGACCCCUCAAUCCCCAGUCGACUUCUCUGUGCGAGGUCCAAGGGUCAGUGUCAGUGUAAGCGAUGAGAGUGGAGAAUGUGAGAGUCCUAAAUGUGGGCCUGCAGUAAAGGGAGAUGUGUUCCCAUCAUUCCAUGAGAAACUCUGAAGGAAGAUUCCUUGGGAGCACUGGCACACUUGGAGAUACUGUGCUAUUGGAGAGAAGAUUAUAUUGAAUGGAGUGUUCCUAAUGUCUGUAGUGAUGGAAUUCCAGACACACAAGUUAGUGAUCAGCUUUGUCUGUCUUCCUGUAGAUCUACUGUGCAUGAGUCCAAAUUUGAGGUACAGGAAACACAGGAGUCAACCAAACAGGCCAAGUCCCUGCUUUCAUGGAGACUAC